AUCACCUGGGCAUCUUGUUAAAAUUCAGAUUCUGAUUCAGUGGAUCUGGGACCUGGCCUGAGAAUCUGCAUUUAUAACAAGCUCCCAGAUGGUGCCAA
Molecule: microRNA precursor, 98 nt
Filed under: Equus asinus (donkey)
Lineage: Eukaryota; Metazoa; Chordata; Mammalia; Perissodactyla; Equidae
Also listed under: 1 other name
Description: mir-544 microRNA precursor family
Rfam family: mir-544 microRNA precursor family
Source: Rfam by way of RNAcentral